GAUGAACGCUGACAGAAUGCUUAACACAUGCAAGUCAACUUGAAUUUGGGUUUUUAACUUAAGUUUGGGUGGCGGACGGGUGAGUAACGCGUAAAGAACUUGCCUCACAGCUAGGGACAACAUUUGGAAACGAAUGCUAAUACCUAAUAUUAUGAUAAUAGGGCAUCCUAUAAUUAUGAAAGCUAUAAGCGCUGUGAGAGAGCUUUGCGUCCCAUUAGCUAGUUGGAGAGGUAACGGCUCACCAAGGCGAUGAUGGGUAGCCGGCCUGAGAGGGUGAUCGGCCACAAGGGGACUGAGACACGGCCCUUACUCCUACGGGAGGCAUCAGUGGGGAAUAUUGGACAAUGGACCAAGAGUCUGAUCCAACAAUUCUGUGUGCACGAUGAAGUUUUUCGGAAUGUAAAGUGCUUUCAGUUGGGAUGAAAGAAAUGACGGUACCAACAGAAGAAGUGACGGCGAAAUACGUGCCAGCAGCCGCGGUAAUACGUAUGUCACGAGCGUUAUCCGUGAUUUAUUGGGCGUAAAGCGCGUCUAGGUGGUUAUGUAAUCUGAUGUGAAAAUGCGGGGCUCAUCUCUGUUUUGCGUUGGAAUUGGAUACUUUUUUUCUGGAUGGGUAAGCGGAAUUGUAUUGUUUAUGUGAAAUUCUUGAUAUUUGGAUGAAUGCCGAUGUAAUCCAUGUUACUGGACUUAUACGACUGUUGAAUGUUAAUUGUGGUGUGUAAUAAGAUAGAUUUUGGGUUGUUCUGGGUGAUAUUCCUAUUGGUAUUUGUGCUUUGUGAAUAGCGGCGACGUUGGGGGGGGCCUAAAAAAAAAAA
Molecule: ribosomal RNA, 815 nt
Filed under: uncultured Prevotella sp.
Lineage: Bacteria; Pseudomonadati; Bacteroidota; Bacteroidia; Bacteroidales; Prevotellaceae
Description: bacterial SSU rRNA
Rfam family: Bacterial small subunit ribosomal RNA
Source: RNAcentral